This 90-nucleotide transfer RNA is filed under the name Patescibacteria group bacterium. RNAcentral's name for it is "tRNA-Ser". It matches the Rfam family "tRNA". From Rfam's summary of the family: Transfer RNA (tRNA) molecules are approximately 80 nucleotides in length. The record is from RNAcentral.
GGAGAGGUGGCUGAGUGGUCGAAAGCAACAGACUUGAAAUCUGUCGUAUGGGAAACCAUACCGAGGGUUCGAAUCCCUCCCUCUCCGCCA